Molecule: ribosomal RNA, 559 nt
Filed under: uncultured bacterium
Lineage: Bacteria
Description: bacterial SSU rRNA
Rfam family: Bacterial small subunit ribosomal RNA
Source: RNAcentral
GGGAAACUGCCUGAUGGAGGGGGAUAACUACUGGAAACGGUAGCUAAUACCGCAUAACGUCGCAAGACCAAAGAGGGGGACCUUCGGGCCUCUUGCCAUCAGAUGUGCCCAGAUGGGAUUAGCUAGUAGGUGGGGUAACGGCUCACCUAGGCGACGAUCCCUAGCUGGUCUGAGAGGAUGACCAGCCACACUGGAACUGAGACACAGUCCAGACUCCUACGGGAGGCAGCAGUGGGGAAUAUUGCACAAUGGGCGCAAGCCUGAUGCAGCCAUGCCGCGUGUAUGAAGAAGGCCUUCGGGUUGUAAAGUACUUUCAGCGAGGAGGAAGGUGUUGAGGUUAAUAACCUCAGCAAUUGACGUUACUCGCAGAAGAAGCACCGGCUAACUCCGUGCCAGCAGCCGCGGUAAUACGGAGGGUGCAAGCGUUAAUCGGAAUUACUGGGCGUAAAGCGCACGCAGGCGGUCUGUCAAGUCGGAUGUGAAAUCCCCGGGCUCAACCUGGGAACUGCAUUCGAAACUGGCAGGCUAGAGUCUUGUAGAGGGGGGUAGAAUUCCAGGU